UCAGUUCGGAUCGGAGUCUGCAACCCGACUCCGUGAAGCUGGAUUCGCUAGUAAUCGCGCAUCAGCCAUGGCGCGGUGAAUACGUUCCCGGGCCUUGUACACACCGCCCGUCAAGCCAUGGGAGCCGGGAGCGCUUGAAGUGCGUCGCCGCGAGGCGCGCCCUAGAGCGAGACCGGUGACUGGGGCUAAGUCGUAACAAGGUACC
Molecule: ribosomal RNA, 205 nt
Filed under: uncultured bacterium
Lineage: Bacteria
Description: partial 16S ribosomal RNA
Rfam family: Bacterial small subunit ribosomal RNA
Source: RNAcentral